This 88-nucleotide ribosomal RNA is filed under the name Dirofilaria immitis (dog heartworm nematode). RNAcentral describes it as "partial 5.8S ribosomal RNA". It matches the Rfam family "5.8S ribosomal RNA", at positions 1 to 88 of the family's 154-position model. Rfam says of the family: 5.8S ribosomal RNA (5.8S rRNA) is a component of the large subunit of the eukaryotic ribosome. It is transcribed by RNA polymerase I as part of the 45S precursor that also contains 18S and 28S rRNA. Lineage: Eukaryota; Metazoa; Nematoda; Chromadorea; Rhabditida; Onchocercidae. The record is from RNAcentral.
UAACUCUUAGCGGUGGAUCACUUGGCUCGUGGAUUGAUGAAGAACGCAGCUAACUGCGAUAAAUAGUGCGAAUUGCAGACGCAUUGAG